Molecule: transfer-messenger RNA, 403 nt
Filed under: Prevotellaceae bacterium
Lineage: Bacteria; Pseudomonadati; Bacteroidota; Bacteroidia; Bacteroidales; Prevotellaceae
Rfam family: transfer-messenger RNA
About the family: Bacterial tmRNA, also known as 10Sa RNA or SsrA, is named for its dual tRNA and mRNA-like properties. Its role is to liberate the mRNA from a stalled ribosome.
Source: RNAcentral
GGGGAUGUUUUGGUUUUGACAGCAAAUUGAAUCGGAAUGUAAGCAUGCCGGGCGUUGUAUGGUGGCCCGUAAAUCCCAACAUGCAAGCCAUAACUGGCGAAAACAAUUAUGCACUCGCUGCGUAGUCUGCCAAGCACACUACCUUAAUCCUGCCGGCCAAGGCUGCCGGUACGACGAGUAUCCCGCCGGAGCGUUCCGCUCUUUAACUUCCGGCAUACGGGGUAUCAACCAUUAAGAGAUAGCCGCGCUGACGCUUCUACCGCCCGGCGAAAUUUUAGAAGCUAAGAACGAUGUAUAGGCGUUUGCGCCCGGCACCGUUACGAAAACCAAUCGCAAGCUAAGCAUGUAGAAAGCAUUUGGAUGAUUUGUUUGGACGCGGGUUCGAUCCCCGCCAUCUCCACAA